UCGUCGUGAAUCACACUUUUACGCACACAAACACAUAGUUAUUUCUUAUAGAACAACACCUCUCUCUCUUUCUACCUCUGUCCAACGCCAAUUCACUCUCCGGCUCCGAUCAACACUUGUAUACUCAUCUGUCUACAACCCCACAUGACUAGAGUACCACUUUUCUCCCUUAUUUCAUCUUUACCUAGAAAAAUUUGAGGCUUAGGGCUUGAAGCACAUCUAAUUUGAGUUGUUGCAAAAAUAAGCUCAAGAAGUAAAUUGCAGUGGAAGAGCUUCUCAUUCCAUCAAGGGCAAAUGGACUCUCGAAUCUUCGUAAUCGUUUCAGCAAGGAAAAAGAGACCGAGGGAUUUUGGCACGAUAGCACAUCCGACUCAUUUUGAACUAAAACUCCAGUGGCAUAUACUUACACUUUUUGAAGGGGAAAUCUCUUUUGUUGUAUAGCGUAACAACACUAGUCAUCGUGCGUGUAUGGAGUUCCGGUCGGACGUCGCGACGGGCGACCCGGACGUCCGCCACUGUGGCGUUUAGGGUCGGAUACGGACGUCCCAUGAGGACGUCGGGUGUCCUCGGACGUCCCUGCGACGGGCGGGCGGACGUCCGC
This is a long non-coding RNA of Salvia splendens (bonfire salvia), 601 nucleotides long. RefSeq lists it as uncharacterized. Lineage: Eukaryota; Viridiplantae; Streptophyta; Magnoliopsida; Lamiales; Lamiaceae. The record is from RefSeq and is a predicted model, not a curated record. The transcript is spliced from 3 exons.